GAAGUAAAAGUCGUAACAAGGUUUCCGUAGGUGAACCUGCGGAAGGAUCAUUAUGAAUUAAAAAUAUUUGUGAAUUUACCACAGCAAACAAAAAUCAUACAAUCAAAACAAAAAUAAUUAAAACUUUUAACAAUGGAUCUCUUGGUUCUCGUAUCGAUGAAGAACGCAGCGAAACGCGAUAUUUCUUGUGAAUUGCAGAAGUGAAUCAUCAGUUUUUGAACGCACAUUGCACUUUGGGGUAUCCCCCAAAGUAUACUUGUUUGAGCGUUGUUUCUCUCUUGGAAUUGCUUUGCUCUUCUAAAAUUUCGAAUCAAAUUCGUUUGAAAAACAACACUAUUCAACCUCAGAUCAAGUAGGAUUACCCGCUGAACUUAAGCAUAUCAAUAAGCGGAGGAAAAGAAACCAACAGGGAUUGCCUUAGUAACGGCGAGUGAAGCGGCAAAAGCUCAAAUUUGAAAUCGGCCMCCAGGUCGAGUUGUAAUUUGUAGAUUGUAUCUUGAGAGCGGAUUAAAGUCUGUUGGAACACAGCGCCUUAGAGGGUGACAGCCCCGUAAAAUCUAUUCUCAUUGUAAGAUACUUUCGAAGAGUCGAGUUGUUUGGGAAUGCAGCUCUAAGUGGGAGGUAAAUUCCUUCUAAAGCUAAAUAUUGACGAGAGACCGAUAGCGAACAAGUACUGUGA
Molecule: unclassified non-coding RNA, 679 nt
Filed under: Geotrichum candidum
Lineage: Eukaryota; Fungi; Ascomycota; Dipodascomycetes; Dipodascales; Dipodascaceae
Description: sequence contains 18S rRNA gene, ITS1, 5.8S rRNA gene, ITS2, 28S rRNA gene
Source: RNAcentral